UCAAUCAAAUUAUACUCCAGUUCAGUUGGCUUUGAAUUUUUCUCAUACUGAAAAAUACCCAGAUGAACCUCCACUUUUGAAUGUCAAGAGCAUACGUGGAAUAAAAACUGAUGAUCUUAAUAUUUUACAAGAAAAGCUUGGAAGAGAGGUAGAAUAAAAAACUU
Molecule: long non-coding RNA, 164 nt
Organism: Dendrobium catenatum
Lineage: Eukaryota; Viridiplantae; Streptophyta; Magnoliopsida; Asparagales; Orchidaceae
Exons: 3
Source: RefSeq, a predicted model, not a curated record